AGUGAACGCUGGCGGUAGGCCUAACACAUGCAAGUCGAACGGCAGCACAGUAAGAGCUUGCUCUUACGGGUGGCGAGUGGCGGACGGGUGAGGAAUACAUCGGAAUCUACUUUUUCGUGGGGGAUAGCGUAGGGAAACUUACGCUAAUACCGCAUACGACCUACGGGUGAAAGCAGGGGAUCUUCGGACCUUGCGCGAUUGAAUGAGCCGAUAUCGGAUUAGCUAGUUGGCGGGGUAAAGGCCCACCAAGGCGACGAUCCGUAGCUGGUCUGAGAGGAUGAUCAGCCACACUGGAACUGAGACACGGUCCAGACUCCUACGGGAGGCAGCAGUGGGGAAUAUUGGACAAUGGGCGCAAGCCUGAUCCAGCCAUACCGCGUGGGUGAAGAAGGCCUUCGGGUUGUAAAGCCCUUUUGUUGGGAAAGAAAAGCAGCAGGUUAAUACCCCGCUGUUCUGACGGUACCCAAAGAAUAAGCACCGGCUAACUUCGUG
Molecule: ribosomal RNA, 492 nt
Filed under: uncultured bacterium
Lineage: Bacteria
Description: partial 16S ribosomal RNA
Rfam family: Bacterial small subunit ribosomal RNA
Source: RNAcentral